GGAAGUUAGUUGAGGGCAGCAAAGUUUGUAAAUUUGGUCAGGUCUGAAAAGAAGCAGCCAUAGCAAGUUAAACUGGGUCUUAGCUAGCUUCCACC
RNAcentral lists this signal recognition particle RNA (95 nucleotides) under endosymbiont of Acanthamoeba sp. UWC8. Its description in RNAcentral is "Bacterial small signal recognition particle RNA". It matches the Rfam family "Bacterial small signal recognition particle RNA". Rfam says of the family: The signal recognition particle (SRP) is a universally conserved ribonucleoprotein involved in the co-translational targeting of proteins to membranes. Archaeal SRP consists of a 7S RNA and homologues of the eukaryotic SRP19 and SRP54 proteins. In most bacteria, the SRP consists of a 4.5S RNA and the Ffh protein (a homologue of the eukaryotic SRP54 protein). The record is from Rfam by way of RNAcentral. RNAcentral also lists the same sequence under 1 other name. Lineage: Bacteria; Pseudomonadati; Pseudomonadota; Alphaproteobacteria; Holosporales; Holosporaceae.